Molecule: long non-coding RNA, 460 nt
Organism: Sapajus apella (tufted capuchin)
Lineage: Eukaryota; Metazoa; Chordata; Mammalia; Primates; Cebidae
Exons: 3
Source: RefSeq, a predicted model, not a curated record
CAUUUUCAAACAUGGUGAUGGUUUAUGAGGGAGUGAAGGAAUGCAUGGAGACUGAAGUGGCAACAGACGCACUCACAUCCGCCACCUGAGCCUGAGGACCCCAGGGCCACCCCCUCAGCAGGAUCAGUUCACCCAAGGAAGAAGGGCUGUUAGGGGACAAAAGAAGAUGAUUAUACUUUGCUCCACUCUGAAAUAAGAGCCAGGAGUUAAGAGUGCCCAAUUCAGCCGGGCACAGUGGCUCACGCCUAUAAUCCCAGCACCUCUACCAUACGAAGGGGGAGGUGCAAACUCAGGGAGGGGAGGACUGACAGCAAAGACUUGAGUGUGUGGGCUGUGGAAUCCAGAACAGAAGCUCCCUGAGGACAAGGGUUUUCACUGUUUUACUCCCUGCUGUAUCGCCAGUGCCUAGGACAGUGCCUGGAACAAAACAGGAGUUCAGUAAACAUUUGUUGAGUGAAUA